CCGUAAAAAGUCCACUUAAGGCGCACCGUCAAUUUUCAAGAGGUCUAAAUAUUCAUUGAUCUGCUCAAUCUACAUUAUGUUUUGAGAUUUAAAUUUUAUAAUUAGAGUGGAAAAAAAUUUUAUAGCCAUCACAAAAAUUUUCACGAGAGAAAUAGCAUCUUUCAACACUAUUUGAAAGUGCGUCUUUCUUUGAUUGUUUAAGGCCUCAACCAAAUACAAACCACACCCUAUAAAGAAACAGUAUAAAAUUAUUCACUUUCAAAAUACAAAGCACAGUAUGAAAUUAUUAUCAAUUAAGAGAGAGACACUGCUGCUUCAAGAAUAACACUGAGAAGCACUCGCCUGUGAUACAGUCUCGAUACUUCACUCACUCUGCGGCCUGCACCUGAACAAUUGAAGCAUGUUAUUAUUUUCUAAAUUGCAUAAAAAAAGUCAAAGCCCCCAAAAUCAGAUACUAUGAAAUGCAUGCUUAUCUUGUUUGUAUGAGCAUAUAGGAGGAGGCAUGCCUUUUCCAAAUAUGUUAAACAAAAAAAGGCCAGGUAAUAUUAGACAAACUUCAAUGGUUCGAAUUCUUGAACUCUAUCACCCAUCCUGAUAUGUCUAUCACCAUGCGGAAGCCUAAGGGACAUCUUCUUCAUGUGCUACGCGUCUCUUGAGCAUCAGUUGCAUGAGGGCAUGUCCGUAGGCCUGUCUACACGCACCUUAGAGAGAGAGAGAGAGAGAGAGAGAGAGAGAGAGAGAGAGCUGUUGG
RNAcentral lists this long non-coding RNA (751 nucleotides) under Amborella trichopoda. RNAcentral's name for it is "long non-coding RNA (ATRI_LNC000198)". Lineage: Eukaryota; Viridiplantae; Streptophyta; Magnoliopsida; Amborellales; Amborellaceae. The record is from RNAcentral.